Molecule: non-coding RNA, 45 nt
Filed under: Trichobilharzia regenti
Lineage: Eukaryota; Metazoa; Platyhelminthes; Trematoda; Strigeidida; Schistosomatidae
Source: RNAcentral
AUACAGCUGACGAAACCUAAAUAGGACGAAAUGCGCAUCCUGGAU